Molecule: long non-coding RNA, 638 nt
Organism: Melospiza georgiana
Lineage: Eukaryota; Metazoa; Chordata; Aves; Passeriformes; Passerellidae
Exons: 2
Source: RefSeq, a predicted model, not a curated record
CAGAACCAGGUUUAGUAUCAGAACCAGGUUUAGAGGGGCAUUAGAACCAGGCUUAGUAUCAAAACAAGGUUUAGCAUUAGAACGAGGUUUAGGUGGCCAUCAGAACCAGGUUUAUUAUCAGAACCAGUUUUAGGGGGGGAUUAGAACCAGGUUCAGUAUCAGAACCAGGCUUAGUAUCAGAACCAGGUUGAGGUGGGCAUCAGAACCAGGUUUGGGUGGGGAUCAGAACCAGGUUUAAGUAGGGAUCAGAACCAGGUUUAGUAUCAGAAACAGGUUUAAUACCAGAACCAGGUUUAGGUGGACAUUAAAAACCAGUUUAGGUGGGCAUCAGAACCAGUUUUGGGGGCAUCAGACCCAGUUUCUUCCCCCAGAGGUGCUGGGCACUGAACCAGGGAAUGGGCACAGCCCCAAGAGCUCCAGGAGUGUCUGAGGCAGUGUUUGCUGCACUUUAAUCAUUAAAUUAUUCAUUAAUUAAUUACACUGAAACGUGGGAUCCCCUGGAGUGCUCCCCACCCAAUUCCCACCGGGAUUCACACCCUGCUCCAAAGCCUUCAAUGCCUGAAAAGCCUUUGGCACAGCCCAGGUGCUCAGGAUGGGGCUCCCAAAAAUCCUUCAAGAUAUUCCAGCUCUCCCAGGGA